GAGUUUGAUCCUGGCUCAGAACGUACGCUGGCGGCACGCCUAACACAUGCAAGUCGAACGAAGUAGCAAUACUUAGUGGCAGACGGGUGAGUAACAUGUAGGUAUCUGCCCUUUGGCCUGGAAUAACACGAGGAAACUUGUGCUAAUACCGGAUAAGUCUUUACGGAGAAAGCUUUAUGCACCAUCGGAUGAGCCUGCACUUGAUUAGUUUGUUGGUGGGGUAAUGGCCUACCAAGACUGUGAUCAAUAGCUGAUUUGAGAGGAUGAUCAGCCACAUUGGGACUGAGACACGGCCCAAACUCCUACGGGAGGCAGCAGUGGGGAAUCUUGCACAAUGGAGGAAACUCUGAUGCAGCGAUGCCGCGUGAGUGAAGAAGGCCUUUGGGUUGUAAAGCUCUUUCGUCGGGGAAGAAAAUGACUGUACCCGAAUAAGAAGGUCCGGCUAACUUCGUGCCAGCAGCCGCGGUAAUACGAAGGGACCUAGCGUAGUUCGGAAUUACUGGGCUUAAAGAGUUCGUAGGUGGUUGAAAAAGUUAGUGGUGAAAUCCCGGAGCUUAACUCUGGAACUGCCAUUAAAACUUUUCAGCUAGAGUAUGAUAGAGGAAAGCAGAAUUUCUAGUGUAGAGGUGAAAUUCGUAGAUAUUAGAAAGAAUACCAAUUGCGAAGGCAGCUUUCUGGAUCAUUACUGACACUGAGGAACGAAAGCAUGGGUAGCGAAGAGGAUUAGAUACCCUCGUAGUCCAUGCCGUAAACGAUGUGUGUUAGACGUUGGAAAUUUAUUUUCAGUGUCGCAGGAAACCGAUAAACACACCGCCUGGGAGUACGACCGCAAGGUUAAACUCAAUGAAUUGACGGG
This 856-nucleotide ribosomal RNA is filed under the name uncultured bacterium. RNAcentral describes it as "bacterial SSU rRNA". It matches the Rfam family "Bacterial small subunit ribosomal RNA", at positions 9 to 917 of the family's 1533-position model. The record is from RNAcentral.